CAGUCGCCACGGGAAUACAGAGGGUGCGAGCGUUAAUCGGAUUUACUGGGCGUAAAGCGUGCGUAGGCGGCUUUUUAAGUCGGAUGUGAAAUCCCUGAGCUUAACUUAGGAAUUGCAUUCGAUACUGGGAAGCUAGAGUAUGGGAGAGGAUGGUAGAAUUCCAGGUGUAGCGGUGAAAUGCGUAGAGAUCUGGAGGAAUACCGAUGGCGAAGGCAGCCAUCUGGCCUAAUACUGACGCUGAGGUACGAAAGCAUGGGGAGCAAACAGGAUUAGAUACCCCCGUAGUCCCUGUCUCUUAUAA
Molecule: ribosomal RNA, 301 nt
Filed under: uncultured bacterium
Lineage: Bacteria
Description: partial 16S ribosomal RNA
Rfam family: Bacterial small subunit ribosomal RNA
Source: RNAcentral